ACGUAGGGGGCGAGCGUUGUCCGGAUUCAUUGGGCGUAAAGGGCGCGUAGGCGGCCCGGAAGGCCGGGGGUGAAAGCGCGGGGCCCAACCCCGCAAGCGCCCCCGGGACCCCCGGGCUCGGGUCCCGCAGGGGGUGGCGGAACUCCCGGUGUAGCGGUGGAAUGCGCAGAUAUCGGGAGGAACACCGGUGGCGAAGGCGGCCACCUGGGCGGCGACCGACGCUGAGGCGCGAGAGCCGGGGGAGCGAACAG
RNAcentral lists this ribosomal RNA (251 nucleotides) under uncultured bacterium. RNAcentral describes it as "partial 16S ribosomal RNA". It matches the Rfam family "Bacterial small subunit ribosomal RNA", at positions 525 to 775 of the family's 1533-position model. The record is from RNAcentral.